GAUGAACGCUGGCGGCGUGCCUAAUACAUGCAAGUCGAGCGAACAGACGAGGAGCUUGCUCCUCUGACGUUAGCGGCGGACGGGUGAGUAACACGUGGAUAACCUACCUAUAAGACUGGGAUAACUUCGGGAAACCGGAGCUAAUACCGGAUCAUAUAUUGAACCGCAUGGAUCAAUAGUGAAAGACGGUUUUGCUGUCACUUAUAGAUGGAUCCGCGCCGCAUUAGCUAGUUGGUAAGGUAACGGCUUACCAAGGCAACGAUGCGUAGCCGACCUGAGAGGGUGAUCGGCCACACUGGAACUGAGACACGGUCCAGACUCCUACGGGAGGCAGCAGUAGGGAAUCUUCCGCAAAGGGCGAAAGCCUGACGGAGCAACGCCGCGUGAGUGAUGAAGGUCUUCGGAUCGUAAAACUCUGUUAUUAGGGAAGAACAAAUGUGUAAGUAACUAUGCACGUCUUGACGGUACCUAAUCAGAAAGCCACGGCUAACUACGUG
This 497-nucleotide ribosomal RNA is filed under the name uncultured bacterium. RNAcentral describes it as "partial 16S ribosomal RNA". It matches the Rfam family "Bacterial small subunit ribosomal RNA", at positions 28 to 507 of the family's 1533-position model. The record is from RNAcentral.